Molecule: ribosomal RNA, 744 nt
Filed under: uncultured Actinomycetales bacterium
Lineage: Bacteria; Bacillati; Actinomycetota; Actinomycetes; Actinomycetales
Description: bacterial SSU rRNA
Rfam family: Bacterial small subunit ribosomal RNA
Source: RNAcentral
GAUGAACGCUGGCGGCGUGCUUAACACAUGCAAGUCGAACGCUGAAGCCUGGUGCUUGCACUGGGUGGAUGAGUGGCGAACGGGUGAGUAACACGUGAGUAACCUGCCCUUGACUUCGGGAUAAGCCCGGGAAACUGGGUCUAAUACUGGAUAUGACUUCCUACCGCAUGGUGGGGGGUGGAAAGAUUUAUCGGUUGGGGAUGGACUCGCGGCCUAUCAGUUUGUUGGUGGGGUAAUGGCCUACCAAGAUGUCGACGGGUAGCCGGCCUGAGAGGGUGACCGGCCACACUGGGACUGAGACACGGCCCAGACUCCUACGGGAGGCAGCAGUGGGGAAUAUUGCACAAUGGGCGCAAGCCUGAUGCAGCGACGCCGCGUGAGGGAUGACGGCCUUCGGGUUGUAAACCUCUUUCAGUAGGGAAGCAGCCCUUUUAGGGUGACGGUACCUGCAGAAGAAGCGCCGGCUAACUACGUGCCAGCAGCCGCGGUAAUACGUAGGGCGCAAGCGUUAUCCGGAAUUAUUGGGCGUAAAGAGCUCGUAGGCGGUUUGUCGCGUCUGCUGUGAAAGCCCGGGGCUUAACUCCGGGUGUGCAGUGGGUACGGGCAGGCUAGAGUGCAGUAGGGGAGACUGGAAUUCCUGGUGUAGCGGUGGAAUGCGCAGAUAUCAGGAGGAACACCGAUGGCGAAGGCAGGUCUCUGGGCUGUUACUGACGCUGAGGAGCGAAAGCAUGGGGAGCGAACAGG